AGCGAACGCUGGCGGCGUGCCUAACACAUGCAAGUCGAACGUGAAAAGGGAAACCUGAGUAAAGUGGCGUACGGGUGAGUAACGCGUAGGUAAUCUACCCCAGAAUCUGGAAUAACCUGCCGAAAGGCGGGCUAAUACUGGAUAGAGCGAGGGAACUCGUAAGAGAGUUUUUCGGGAAAGGGAGCCCGCAAGGGCCUUCGUUCUGGGAUGAGCCUGCGUCUCAUUAGCUAGUUGGUAAGGUAACGGCUUACCAAGGCGAUGAUGAGUAGCUGGUCUGAGAGGAUGAUCAGCCAUACUGGAACUGAAACACGGUCCAGACUCCUACGGGAGGCAGCAGUGGGGAAUCUUGCGCAAUGGACGAAAGUCUGACGCAGCCACGCCGCGUGAGUGAAGAAGGCCUUCGGGUUGUAAAGCUCUGUCGGAUGGGACGAACAUCUUCAUAGUGAAUAGCUAUGAGGACUGACGGUACCAUCAAAGGAAGCACCGGCUAACUCCGUG
Molecule: ribosomal RNA, 498 nt
Filed under: uncultured bacterium
Lineage: Bacteria
Description: partial 16S ribosomal RNA
Rfam family: Bacterial small subunit ribosomal RNA
Source: RNAcentral